UACGAAGGGGGCUAGCGUUGCUCGGAAUCACUGGGCGUAAAGCGCACGUAGGCGGACUCUUAAGUCAGGGGUGAAAUCCUGGAGCUCAACUCCAGAACUGCCUUUGAUACUGAGAGCCUUGAGUUCGGGAGAGGUGAGUGGAACUGCGAGUGUAGAGGUGAAAUUCGUAGAUAUUAGGAAGAACACCAGUGGCGAAGGCGGCUCACUGGUCCGGUACUGACGCUGAGGUGCGAAAGCGUGGGGAGCAAACAGG
RNAcentral lists this ribosomal RNA (253 nucleotides) under uncultured bacterium. RNAcentral's name for it is "partial 16S ribosomal RNA". It matches the Rfam family "Bacterial small subunit ribosomal RNA", at positions 524 to 776 of the family's 1533-position model. The record is from RNAcentral.